UCUACGGGAGGCUGCAGUGGGGAAUAUUGGACAAUGGGGGGAACCCUGAUCCAGCGACGCCGCGUGAGUGAAGAAGUAUUUCGGUAUGUAAAGCUCUAUCAGCAGGGAAGAAAAUGACGGUACCUACCUAAGAAGCCCCGGCUAACUACGUGCCAGAAGCCGCGGUAAUACGUAGGGGGCAAGCGUUAUCCGGAUUUACUGGGUGUAAAGGGAGCGUAGACGGUGCAGCAAGUCUGAUGGGAAAGGUCGGGGCCCAACCCCGGGACGGCAUUGGAAAUUGUUGAACGGGAGUACAGGAGAGGGAAGCGGAAGGCCUAGUGUAGCGGUGAAAUGCGUAGAUAUGAGGAGGAACACCAGUGGCGAAGGCGGCUUACUGGACUGUAACUGACGUUGAGGCUCGAAAGCGUGGGGAGCAAACAGGAUUAGAUACCCCUGUAGUC
RNAcentral lists this ribosomal RNA (440 nucleotides) under uncultured bacterium. RNAcentral describes it as "partial 16S ribosomal RNA". It matches the Rfam family "Bacterial small subunit ribosomal RNA", at positions 338 to 795 of the family's 1533-position model. The record is from RNAcentral.